AGAGUUUGAUUCUGGCUCAGAUUGAACGCUGGCGGCAUGCCUUACACAUGCAAGUCGAACGGUAACGGGCCUUCGGGUGCCGACGAGUGGCGAACGGGUGAGUAAUGUAUCGGAACGUACCUUUCAGUGGGGGAUAACGUAGCGAAAGUUACGCUAAUACCGCAUAUUCUGUGCGCAGGAAAGCAGGGGAUCGCAAGACCUUGCGCUGAUUGAGCGGCCGAUAUCAGAUUAGCUAGUUGGUGAGGUAAAGGCUCACCAAGGCGACGAUCUGUAGCGGGUCUGAGAGGAUGAUCCGCCACACUGGAACUGAGACACGGUCCAGACUCCUACGGGAGGCAGCAGUGGGGAAUUUUGGACAAUGGGGGCAACCCUGAUCCAGCCAUGCCGCGUGAGUGAAGAAGGCCUUCGGGUUGUAAAGCUCUUUCGGCCGGGAAGAAAUCGUAUCAGCUAAUACCUGGUGCGGAUGACGGUACCGGCAUAAGAAGCACCGGCUAACUACGUGUCAGCCGCCGCGGUAA
RNAcentral lists this ribosomal RNA (518 nucleotides) under uncultured Dechloromonas sp. Its description in RNAcentral is "bacterial SSU rRNA". It matches the Rfam family "Bacterial small subunit ribosomal RNA", at positions 8 to 523 of the family's 1533-position model. Lineage: Bacteria; Pseudomonadati; Pseudomonadota; Betaproteobacteria; Rhodocyclales; Azonexaceae. The record is from RNAcentral.